RNAcentral lists this ribosomal RNA (253 nucleotides) under uncultured bacterium. Its description in RNAcentral is "partial 16S ribosomal RNA". It matches the Rfam family "Bacterial small subunit ribosomal RNA", at positions 524 to 776 of the family's 1533-position model. The record is from RNAcentral.
UACGGAGGGUGCGAGCGUUGUCCGGAAUCACUGGGCGUAAAGGGCGCGUAGGUGGCGCGGGCAGUUAACGGUGAAAGUUCGGGGCUCAACCCUGAAUCGGCCGUCGAUACUCCCGGGCUUGAGCACUGUAGAGGCUAAUGGAAUUCCGGGUGUAGCGGUGGAAUGCGUAGAGAUCCGGAAGAACACCGGUGGCGAAGGCGGUUAGCUGGGCAGUUGCUGACACUGAGGCGCGACAGCGUGGGGAGCAAACAGG